AUGUUGUUAUGAAAGGAGAGAAGAUUAGCAUUCCCCUUGACAAAGAUGGAAGAGGCCCUCAGGCCUGAAAAUGUGAUAGUUGAGGCAUUACCACCUAUUUCAUGGAAUUUAACCAUAUCUAUUC
Molecule: small nuclear RNA, 124 nt
Organism: Cavia aperea (Brazilian guinea pig)
Lineage: Eukaryota; Metazoa; Chordata; Mammalia; Rodentia; Caviidae
Source: Ensembl